GACAGCCACUAGACAAUACGCGUAUUAAAUGCUCAAAUGUAGCAUACCUAUUCUCUGGUAAUUUAAGCACGUCUUUAAGCACAAAUCUUUGAAUAUCUGGAUUGUGUAUGCGAAUACUGCCACCCCCUAAUUCAAUACCAUUCACGACUAUAUCAUAAUGAAGUCCACGAACAGAAAGAGGCUUUUUUUCCAGUAAAUGUACAUCAUCCCAAUGAGGAGCAGUAAAUGGGUGAUGUGUAGAUGUAAUAGAUUGAUUUUUCUCUUCGGUUGGUGAGAAAAGAGGAAAAUCCACGACCCAAACGAAUUUUAAUAAAUCCUUGUCCAGCUCUGGUAAAGCUUUCUUUUUAACCAGCAGUUCAUGAAGCAAAAGUCGCAGUUUCCCCAAAGGUGUUGUCCCAGAAACCAAAUAUUUUGGUCUGUUUGUCAUAAAAACAAUACUGUUGAUACCAAUUUGAAGUUUUUGAUUAAGCUCCUCGGCUACAAUAGGAAGUUGGCGAAGUUGUGGCAGUUUUUUUACCCAAGUUUGUAAUUGAGAAUGCUCCCGAAUUGAUGUGACAACAACAUUUUCACCUACAGCUUCACAUAAUUUUCGGCUUUCUGCAUUACUCAAAGAGUGUGAUAAAUCAUUGUAAACAAGGAUUUCAGUACUAAUUAAGGGAUCUUGUUUAGGAAGCAAAGAAGUUAUAUUUUUCAAGGGUAAUUCAAAUCGAAUAUCUGGUUUAUCGGAGCCAUAUUUGUCAAUAGCAUGCUGAUAAGUUAUAUGUUGAAAUGGUUUUGCUAGAGUUAUUCCUUUAGCAAAACUUACCAAUCGGACAAGCAAAUCUUCAACUACCUCCAUUAUUUCGUGAGGUUUAUCAACGAAACUCAUUUCAAGGUCAAUCUGAGUAAACUCGGGUUGCCUAUCGAAACGAAGAUCUUCAUCACGAAAACAACGAGCUAUCUGAUAAUAGUUCCCGAUUCCGCUUGCCAUUAGAAUUUGCUUAUAUUGUUGCGGACUUUGUGGUAAGGCGUAGAAUUUGCCAGGAUUUAAUCUUGAAGGGACAACAAAUUCGCGCGCCCCUUCAGGAGUUGAUUUAAACAAUAAAGGUGUUUCAACUUCACAAAAUUCUCUAUCAUUAAAAAAAGAGUGUACUUGAUAAGCCAACCUUGAUCGUUGUCGUAAAUAUGAAUUAUAUUUGGGGGCUCGUAACUGAAUAUGUCGAUUUGCUAACUGUAUCCGCAUUCCCGGUUUUUCAUCACCGGGAAAUAACUGUAAAUUUUUAGCAACGUUUAGUAAUUUCACAUCUUCAACGUGAAGUUCAAAUUCAUUACCGGGACGACGAUCAUGCUCUGGUCGACGCUGAAGUUUACCCGUAACUUGAACAACGCUUUCGGGCGGAAUGGAAGAUAAAGUACGCAUAACAGAAGUAGAUUUUUGUUGUGAAAAGUCGGUAGAGGAAACCAGCGGUUCUCUUUUCUGUUGGAGGAUUAUUUUGUCUGUGGAAAGUAAUUGAAGAAUGGUACCAUGAGUGUCACGAAGUUGAUGAAAGCUAAUGCUCUUGGAAACUUGCCGGCUAGUUGCUACGAGCCAGCCCUGAAUACUCACUUUGGUCCCUACCAAAGGGAGUAAACAAGCAGGUAGCCUAGAAAGUACCAUAGUGAAAAACGGCGCAAGCAGCGAGGAUAGUAGAAGAAAAGAAAGAGAGUGAAAAGAAGAAAAGGUCAGAAAGAAAUCUUAAAAAAUUAAAAAGUGGGUAUAUUAAUAUUGAUAGAGGAGGUAAGAAUAGGGAGAACAGCGACUGGUUGUGAAUAAAAGGAUAUGAAUCAAAUUAGA
Molecule: non-coding RNA, 1813 nt
Organism: Schizosaccharomyces pombe (fission yeast)
Lineage: Eukaryota; Fungi; Ascomycota; Schizosaccharomycetes; Schizosaccharomycetales; Schizosaccharomycetaceae
Source: the annotation of a GenBank genome assembly